UACGGAGGGUGCAAGCGUUGUCCGGAUUUAUUGGGUUUAAAGGGUGCGUAGGCGGCCCGUUAAGUCAGUGGUGAAAGCCUCCAGCUCAACUGGAGAACUGCCAUUGAUACUGACGGGCUUGAGUACAGACGAGGUUGGCGGAAUUGAUAGUGUAGCGGUGAAAUGCAUAGAUACUAUCAAGAACUCCGAUUGCGUAGGCAGCUAACUAGGCUGUAACUGACGCUGAGGCACGAAAGCGUGGGGAGCAAACAGG
Molecule: ribosomal RNA, 253 nt
Filed under: uncultured bacterium
Lineage: Bacteria
Description: partial 16S ribosomal RNA
Rfam family: Bacterial small subunit ribosomal RNA
Source: RNAcentral